RNAcentral lists this long non-coding RNA (287 nucleotides) under Fukomys damarensis (Damara mole-rat). RNAcentral describes it as "lncRNA (ENSFDAG00000022923.1)". Lineage: Eukaryota; Metazoa; Chordata; Mammalia; Rodentia; Bathyergidae. The record is from RNAcentral.
ACAGAUUUGCAGGGUUGGGUGGUAGAUCAUUGGGUUUUAGAUUUGAAGAUUUCUCAGCGGAGAAGGAAGAAGAGGAGAGAGGGGGGCGAGAGUGGGAGCAGACUGUUGCUUCCCCUAGGUGAUAUUUCCUUUUUUUCCUCCCCUAAAGGCAUCUGUGAAGUCCUGUGAAAGAAAACUUCCUGCAAUCCCAUAUUUCCCACCAGUUGUUGAAAACCUACUCAGAUGGAGGUCCUGGAAAACUGGGGAAGCAAGGACAGAGGACACCUUCUCAGGCAAAGCCGCAUCCC